UACGGAGGGAGCUAGCGUUGUUCGGAAUUACUGGGCGUAAAGCGCACGUAGGCGGCUUUGUAAGUCAGAGGUGAGAGCCUGGAGCUCAACUCCAGAACUGCCUUUGAGACUGCAUCGCUUGAAUCCAGGAGAGGUGAGUGGAAUUCCGAGUGUAGAGGUGAAAUUCGUAGAUAUUCGGAAGAACACCAGUGGCGAAGGCGGCUCACUGGACUGGUAUUGACGCUGAGGUGCGAAAGCGUGGGGAGCAAACAGG
RNAcentral lists this ribosomal RNA (253 nucleotides) under uncultured bacterium. RNAcentral's name for it is "partial 16S ribosomal RNA". It matches the Rfam family "Bacterial small subunit ribosomal RNA", at positions 524 to 776 of the family's 1533-position model. The record is from RNAcentral.